Molecule: ribosomal RNA, 376 nt
Filed under: uncultured Alphaproteobacteria bacterium
Lineage: Bacteria; Pseudomonadati; Pseudomonadota; Alphaproteobacteria
Description: bacterial SSU rRNA
Rfam family: Bacterial small subunit ribosomal RNA
Source: RNAcentral
GAGUUUGAUCGUGGCUCAGAACGAACGCUGGCGGCAGGCUUAACACAUGCAAGUCGAGCGAAGACUUCGGUCUUAGCGGCAGACGGGUGAGUAACGCGUGGGAAUCUACCCAGUCCUUCGGAAUAGCUCCUGGAAACGGGAAUUAAUACCGAAUACGCCCUUUUGGGGAAAGAUUUAUCGGGAUUGGAUGAGCCCGCGUAAGAUUAGCUAGUUGGUGGGGUAAUGGCCUACCAAGGCGACGAUCUUUAGCUGGUCUGAGAGGAUGAUCAGCCACACUGGGACUGAGACACGGCCCAGACUCCUACGGGAGGCAGCAGUGGGGAAUAUUGGACAAUGGGCGCGAAGCCUGAUCCAGCCAUGCCGCGUGAGUGAUGAA